Molecule: long non-coding RNA, 1581 nt
Organism: Coturnix japonica (Japanese quail)
Lineage: Eukaryota; Metazoa; Chordata; Aves; Galliformes; Phasianidae
Source: Ensembl
GCAGCUCCCGCUGCUGCUCCGACCUCUGCUCCAUGUCCUGCAUCUGCUGCUCACAGCGCUUGCUGUAUGGGAUUAAUUCAUACGGGAUUAAUAGGGGAUUAAUAGGGGAUUUAUAGGGGACUAAUAGGGGAUUAAUAGGGGAUUAAUAGGGGACUAAUAGGGGAUUUAUAGGGGACUAAUAGGGGAUUAAUAGGGGAUUAAUAGGGGACUAAUAGGGGAUUAAUAGGGGAUUAAUAGGGGACUAAUAGGGGAUUAAUAGGGGACUAAUAGGGGAUUAAUAGGGGAUUAAUAGGGGACUAAUAGGGGAUUAAUAGGGGAUUAAUAGGGGAUUAAUAGGGGAUUAAUAUGGGGUUAAUGGGAUUAAUGGGGUUCAUGGGAUUAAUGGGAUUGGGAUUGGGAUUAUAUUGGGAUCAAUGGGAUUGGGAUUGGGAUCAAUGGAAUUGGGAUCAAUGGGAUUGGGAUUAAUGGGAUUGGGAUCAAUGGGAUUGGGAUUAUAUUGGGAUUAAUAGGAUUGGGAUUAAUGGGAUCAAUGGGAUUGGGAUCAAUGGGAUUGGGAUUAUAUUGGGAUCAAUGGGAUUGGGAUUAAUGGGAUCAAUGGGAUUGGGAUUAAUGGGAUUGGGAUCAAUGGGAUUGGGAUUAAUGGGAUUUGUGGGAUUAGGAUUGGGAUUAAUGGGAUUAGGAUUGGGAUUGGGAUUAAUGGGGUUCAUGGGAUUAAUGGGAUUAGGAUUGGGAUUAGGGUUAGGAUUGGGAUUAAUGGGAUUGGGAUUAAUGGGAUUAAUGGGAUUAGGAUUGGGAUUAAUGGGAUUGGGAUUGGGAUCAAUGGGAUUGGGAUUAAUGGGAUUAGGAUUGGGAUCAAUGGGAUUGGGAUUAAUGGGAUUAGGAUUGGGAUUAAUGGGAUUAAUGGGAUUAGGAUUGGGAUUAGGAUUGGGAUUAAGGUUAGGAUUGGGUAAUGGGGGCUCUAGGGGUCCUAUAGGGGGGGUAAUGGUGCGUCUUAUUGGUGGGGUAAUAGGGCGGAUGAUUGCGGGGGUAAUAGGGGAUAUGGGGUUAAGGGGGGCUAUGGGGGGUAAUAGGGGGCUAUGGGGGGGUAUAGGGAUAUGGGGGUAAUAGCGGGCUAUGGGGGUAAUGGGGGGCUGUGGGGGGCAAUGGGGGCUAUGGGGGGUAAUGGGGCUAUGGGGGGAUAUAGGUAAUGGGCGGCAUGGGCACCGGUAAUAGGGGGGAUUAUGGGGGUUAAUGGGGGAUAUGGGGGCGUUUAAUGGGGUGAUAUGGGGGGUAAUAGGUGCGGAUUAUGGGCCGUGUAGGGGGAUAUUGGGGUAAUAGGGAUUGUAGGCGAGGUAAAUGGGGGAUAAUGGCGGGGCUAUGGGCGGUAAUAGGGGGAUAUGGCGGGGUUAAUAGGGGGUAUAUGGGGUUAAGGGGGGGCUAAGGGGAGUAAUGCGGGGCUAUGGGGCGGUAAUGGGGGGCUGUGGCGGUAAUGGGGGGCUAUUGGGGGAUAUAGGGGGUAAUGGAGGGGGUAAAUGAGGGGCUUUGGGAGGUUUAAUAGGGGUCUAUGGGGGAGAAUGGGGCUAUGGGGGAACUAGGGGGGUA